Molecule: ribosomal RNA, 468 nt
Filed under: uncultured bacterium
Lineage: Bacteria
Description: partial 16S ribosomal RNA
Rfam family: Bacterial small subunit ribosomal RNA
Source: RNAcentral
GAUGAACGCUGGCGGCGUGCUUAACACAUGCAAGUCGAACGGAAAGGCCCUGCUUUUGUGGGGUGCUCGAGUGGCGAACGGGUGAGUAACACGUGAGUAACCUGCCCUUGACUUUGGGAUAACUUCAGGAAACUGGGGCUAAUACCGGAUAGGAGCUCUUGAUGCAUGGUGGGGGUUGGAAAGAUUCGGCGGUUGGGGAUAGACUCGCGGCUUAUCAGCUUGUUAGUGGGGUAGUGGCUUACCAAGGCUUUGACGGGUAGCCGGCCUGAGAGGGUGAACGGCCACAAGAGGACUGAGGUACGGCCCAGACGCCUACGGGAGGCAACAGUGGAGAGUAUUGCGCAAUAGGCGGAAGCCUGAUGCAGCAACGCCGCGUGCGGGAUGACGGCCUUCUGGUUGUAAACCGCUUUCGCCUGUGACGAAGCGUGAGUGACGGUAAUGGGUAAAGAAGCACCGGCUAACUACGUG